This 548-nucleotide ribosomal RNA is filed under the name Scinax argyreornatus. RNAcentral describes it as "partial large subunit ribosomal RNA". It matches the Rfam family "Bacterial large subunit ribosomal RNA", at positions 1861 to 2603 of the family's 2925-position model. Lineage: Eukaryota; Metazoa; Chordata; Amphibia; Anura; Hylidae. The record is from RNAcentral.
GCCCAGUGAUAUUAAUUCAACGGCCGCGGUAUCCUAACCGUGCGAAGGUAGCGUAAUCACUUGUUCUUUAAAUCAGGACUAGUAUGAAUGGCACCACGAGGGUUAUACUGUCUCCCUUUUCUAAUCAGUGAAACUAAUCUCCCCGUGAAGAAACGGGGAUAAAUUUAUAAGACGAGAAGACCCUAUGGAGCUUUAAAUUUUUUACAACUGCUUAAACCUAAAAACAAAGUCCCAGACUAUCUGUAUGAAUACUAGCACAAUGAUAAUAAAUUUUAGGUUGGGGUGACCGCGGAGCAAAAUAAAACCUCCAUGUUGAACUGAGCCUCAAGCCCUGAACACAGAGCUACAACUCUAAGUACUAACACAUUAACAUAUAUUGACCCAAUAUUUUUGACCAACGAACCAAGUUACCCUAGGGAUAACAGCGCAAUCCACUUUAAGAGCCCCUAUCGACAAGUGGGUUUACGACCUCGAUGUUGGAUCAGGGUAUCCCAGUGGUGCAGCCGCUACUAAUGGUUCGUUUGUUCAACGAUUAAAACCCUACGUGA